RNAcentral lists this ribosomal RNA (576 nucleotides) under Dothideomycetes sp. Neg.1. RNAcentral's name for it is "partial 18S ribosomal RNA". The stretch from base 231 to 384 matches the Rfam family "5.8S ribosomal RNA". The record is from RNAcentral. Lineage: Eukaryota; Fungi; Ascomycota; Dothideomycetes.
UUGGAAGUAAAAAGGUUGUAACAAGGUUUCCGUAGGUGAACCUGCGGAAGGAUCAUUAAAGGGAACGCUGGUCCAACCAGCAUCCUCCAACCCAAUGUGUACCCGCCUUGUUGCCUCGGCGUGCCUGCGUCGUCCGUGGCGCUGCCGGCUCCGGCUGGAUAGCGCACGCCAGAGGAAUUGUAAACUCCAGCUUCAACGAGUGCAGUCUGAGCUUUAAUCAAAUAAGUUAAAACUUUCAACAACGGAUCUCUUGGUUCUGGCAUCGAUGAAGAACGCAGCGAAAUGCGAUAAGUAAUGUGAAUUGCAGAAUUCAGUGAAUCAUCGAAUCUUUGAACGCACAUUGCGCCCUUCGGUAUUCCGAGGGGCAUGCCUGUUCGAGCGUCAUUUCAAACCUCAAGCUCUGCUUGGUAUUGGGUCCGGCCCCCGGUCUCGGGCGGCCGUCCUGAAAGUCAGCGGCGAGGCUGUCCAGCUUCAGGCGUAGUAGAACCUUUCGUCUCGCCUUGCGAGCCUGGGCUGCCCUCGCCGGAUAACCUUCAUCCACAAGGUUGACCUCGGAUCAGGUAGGAUACCCGCUGA